Molecule: small nuclear RNA, 111 nt
Organism: Suncus etruscus (white-toothed pygmy shrew)
Lineage: Eukaryota; Metazoa; Chordata; Mammalia; Eulipotyphla; Soricidae
Source: RefSeq, a predicted model, not a curated record
GUGCUCGCUUCGACAGCACAUAUACUAAAAUUGGAAUGAUACAGAGAAGAUUUAGCAUGCCCCCUGCGCAAGGAUGACACGCAAAUUAAUUAAAGAGGGAGCCAGAGUAAU